GAAGAGACUCCCAAGUGGCACUUUUGCGACUCAUCCCUUAAAAAAAAAGCAUCCGAAACAGCAAAAUAGAAAUCUUUCUUGUCCCCUGGCCUUGCAGGUCUGGCAACAAAACACCACAGCAGCACCAGCAAGGACACACUUAGCACCAGCAAAAUCUGCAUAUGCAAAGGGCUUCCCCAGUCCCAUUCCUCGAUGCUACUAUUGCUCCAGGCGACAUCUUGAUUCUCCGCUUCCUUCUCGAAGUGCCAACUGCGGCCUUUCAAGCUCUGGGCUCCCCAUCAGGAAAACGGGAUCCAGCUUUCUCCAAGGACACAGGGUUUUCACCAACCUGCAGAAAUAAAGAUUUGUAUAUCGGGGAAGAUUCACGCAACACUAACAUCUGUGCCAAUCUUCUUCCUUUUUUCUUCCCCCCAAAGCCCCAGUAGAUAGUUGUGUAUAGUUAUAAGUCCUGCUAGUUCUUCUAUGUGAGCUGCCACCACAGUGUGACAACUGACAGAUGGGUGGUGUGGUUGUGCACCUGGGAACUGAACCUGGUCUGGCAAAGCAGAGUGCACUGAACUUUAACCACUGGGCCAUCAGGGCUGGCUCAAGAGGUCCCUUUUUUUUUUUUUUUCCUGAGGAAGAUUCACCCUGAGCUAACAUUCAUUGCCAGUCUUCCUCUACUUUGUAUGUGAGAUGUCCUCACAGCAUGGCUGAUGAAUGGAGCAGGUCUGCGCCCAGGAUCCAAACCUGCAAACCCAGGCUGCCAAAGCAGAGCACAUGGAACUCUAACCACUCAGCCACGGGGCCGACUCCCUUCUCUACUUCAUAUGUGGGUCACCACCAUAGGGCGGCUGACGAGUGUUGUAGGUCCGCGCCCAGGAUCCGAACCCAUGAACCCAGGCCACCGAAGCAGAGCACGCUGAACUUAACCACCACACCACGGGGCCAGCCCCAAGAGAUCCCAAUUUUUAAUUAAAAAAAAAAAUACCUCUCUUGCUCUUGCUGUUUGCACAAGUGAUAAGUUAUAAAUUCAAACAGCAGAGAAUAUAGAAAUAAAAGGAAGGCCCCCUUCAGUCCCCCCCUCAGCCUCCCAGAAUAUUUGCUGUGUAUUUACAGACACUGUAUUCCCCAUCAUUACAUCCCCAGAGCCUAGCACAAAGCCUGGCACACAGCAGGUGCUCAGUUCAACCUGUUUAAUGACAGUGAAUAAUGGUGGCAACUUCCCAGCUCUUGCAUUUUUUGUUUCAGUGGGUUGAUUUUGACCAUGGAGUUCAGAUGGUGCCAGUCUUCAGUCCCAGUGCCUAAGACUUCUGGGGACAAAGCUCUCCAUGCAGAAUGUUCCCAGAGAGAAGACGACUGCUCUGGUCUGUGUCAUGGCUUAAAUCUCCCUCCAGGGAGCUCAGGCUGCCCAGUUAGGAAGCUGGGCACCGAGGAGACUGGGGAGAGGGGACUGAAAGAGCAGAAGGCUAGGUUUGGGGUGUGUGAGAAAGGACGAGGCCAUUUGGCAGCUCCUGGAAGAAGCAUUUGCCCCCCUCUGUCCAGCCCCCUCCCACCCGUGAAUAGUUAUCAGUGUGAUCAGCAAACAGUUGAUAAUGUAAAGACUAUGGAGAGAGACCAGAGAGCUCAUAGCUCCCACCCACUAUGAAGUUAUGGCAGGUGGGCCUUGAAUGCCAAGCUAACUUGACUUCCAGAAGGAUAAGCUCUGAGAGUCGG
Molecule: long non-coding RNA, 1695 nt
Organism: Equus asinus (donkey)
Lineage: Eukaryota; Metazoa; Chordata; Mammalia; Perissodactyla; Equidae
Source: Ensembl